AAGCUCGUAGUUGAAUUUCGGGAUCAAUGGAUUGGUCAUGCCGUUGGUAUGUACUGGUCAUAUUGGUUCUCACCUUCUAAGGAACCAUAAUGUCAUUCAUUUGAUGUUUUGGGGAAUUAGGACUGUUACCUUGAAAAAAUUAGAGUGUUUAAAGCAGGCUAACGCUUGAAUACAUUAGCAUGGAAUAAUGAAAUAGGACAUCGCAUUCUAUUUUGUUGGUUUUUAGGAUCGAUGUAAUGAUUAAUAGGGAUAGUUGGGGGCAUUAGUAUUCAAUUGUCAGAGGUGAAAUUCUUGGAUUUAUUGAAGACUAACUACUGCGAAAGCAUUUGCCAAGGAUGUUUUCAUUAAUCAAGAACGAAAGUUAGGGGAUCGAAGACGAUCAGAUACCGUCGUAGUCUUAACCAUAAACUAUGCCGACUAGGGAUCGGAUGAUGUUGAUUUUUUAAUGACUCAUUCGGCACCUUACGGGAAACCAAAGUGUUUGGGUUCCGGGGGGAGUAUGGUCGCAAGGCUGAAACUUAAAGGAAUUGACGGAAGGGCACCACCAGGGGUGGAGCCUGCGGCUUAAUUUGACUCAACACGGGGAAACUCACCAGGUCCAGACAUAGUAAGGAUUGACAGAUUGAGAGCUCUUUCUUGAUUCUAUGGGUG
This 651-nucleotide ribosomal RNA is filed under the name uncultured Funneliformis. RNAcentral describes it as "SSU rRNA". It matches the Rfam family "Eukaryotic small subunit ribosomal RNA", at positions 624 to 1276 of the family's 1831-position model. The record is from RNAcentral. Lineage: Eukaryota; Fungi; Glomeromycota; Glomeromycetes; Glomerales; Glomeraceae.